Bolinopsis microptera is the source of this 1050-nucleotide long non-coding RNA. RefSeq lists it as uncharacterized. The transcript is spliced from 5 exons. The record is from RefSeq and is a predicted model, not a curated record. NCBI's taxonomy places the organism in Eukaryota, Metazoa, Ctenophora, Tentaculata, Lobata, Bolinopsidae.
UAGGGGUAUAGUGAAUUGAAGGUGAACAGGUUUGCAAAUAUCUCACGGCCUGUAUUAGUAUCUUAUAAAAUAUUUAUACUGAGAGACGGGUAGUCGGUCGAUUAAUUUAAAGUCUUUAUCAAUUUAGAAAAUAUUAGGAGUCAGCGUAACAAGCUGAAAGUUGUAAGGUUUGUAUGAUUGAAAUGUCUCACGGCGUGAAGCUGUAGUUAGUAUUUUAAGCCGUUGUAAAUUAGUAGUUAUUUGGAAUUGUGACGUUCCCGGUGGGAAAAGUAGUGGCUUGAAGAUUGUUAAAGUUUCAAAUUUAUUAGAACUUAUAGUUAAAAGAAUACUUACAAUUAUUUUAACAGCAUUGAUUUUUGAUUAUUGUGUUGACGAACUAGCCGAGGUGUUACAAGAGUGCCAUGAGAAUCAACUCCCCCUUCAACUCCCCAAAGACCUGUCAACCAGCAGUCUACAAAAAGGGGAGCUCGCCUGCUGCUCGCCGCCUUCCGCCUUUCGCCUUCUGCAUUCACCUGUUCCUAUCAUGGCCCGGGGUCUUGCUCUGCUGUAUCCGUUCUCUCUCCACAUGUUACUCAUUUCUAUUAUAGAUUCCUCGCACUACUAGUACUAUCUGUUCCCGAUAGAUCCUUCCAGAAUUAGGCUAUGGAGUUCCUUUCCUGAGGCAAUAUGACGGUGAUACCCAACCCACUUGCUCUGCCUGUCCUCACCUAAGCUCCACCAGUCGUAUUGCUUCAUUGAUUCCCCCCUCCUUCCUCGAGAACCGUUCGUCACUAUGUUAGAUCCUCGGGAUGACCAUGCAAGAUGGUUCAGUUCUAGUUGACAUUCCACUAUAUGAAAAGACCAGAUCGCCACUUUAUAUUCUUAUUCCUUGAGAGAGAGAGAGAACCGGAACAGCGACCUCGUGAAUCAUCCUAUUUAAUCGCUUCACCCUCGCCACAUUCGCUACUACUUCAAUUAUUGGGGUAAAUGGACAUUAAGACUAAGUUAUGAGAUAUGAGAGUUAAAUUAAUAUUGUAGUCCUAUUUAACCCAAUUAUUUUACAACCCUUUA